UAGACUGGUCCUUGGAAUUUCCAUUUAGCCACAGAACAGGUACUGCAUCACCAUUACAGACAUCUUCAAUACAGCCUGACAAUGUGCAAUAUAUUGGCUUGGAGGGAUCAUUGUGGGGUCAGAGGGUAGUUUUAUUUCCUUACUAGUCAGUCCUUGGCUUCU
Molecule: small RNA, 162 nt
Filed under: Crocodylus porosus (Australian saltwater crocodile)
Lineage: Eukaryota; Metazoa; Chordata; Crocodylia; Crocodylidae
Description: TUC338 (ENSCPRG00005000340.1)
Source: RNAcentral